CAGUAGCCGCGGUAAUACGUAGGUGGCAAGCGUUGUCCGGAAUUAUUGGGCGUAAAGGGCUCGCAGGCGGUUUCUUAAGUCUGAUGUGAAAGCCCCCGGCUCAACCGGGGAGGGUCAUUGGAAACUGGGAAACCUGAGUGCAGAAGAGGAGAGUGGAAUUCCACGUGUAGCGGUGAAAUGCGUAGAGAUGUGGAGGAACACCAGUGGCGAAGGCGACUCUCUGGUCUGUAACUGACGCUGAGGAGCGAAAGCGUGGGGAGCGAACAGGAUUAGAUACCCGGGUAGUCCCUGUCUCUUAUAC
This 301-nucleotide ribosomal RNA is filed under the name uncultured bacterium. RNAcentral describes it as "partial 16S ribosomal RNA". It matches the Rfam family "Bacterial small subunit ribosomal RNA", at positions 509 to 807 of the family's 1533-position model. The record is from RNAcentral.